RNAcentral lists this ribosomal RNA (253 nucleotides) under uncultured bacterium. Its description in RNAcentral is "partial 16S ribosomal RNA". It matches the Rfam family "Bacterial small subunit ribosomal RNA", at positions 524 to 776 of the family's 1533-position model. The record is from RNAcentral.
UACGUAGGGGGCAAGCGUUAUCCGGAUUUACUGGGUGUAAAGGGAGCGUAGACGGUUGUGCAAGUCUGAAGUGAAAGCCCGCGGCUCAACUGCGGAACGGCUUUGGAAACUGUGUAACUGGAGUGCUGGAGAGGUAAGCGGAAUUCCUGGUGUAGCGGUGAAAUGCGUAGAGAUCAGGAGGAACACCGGCGGCGAAGGCGGCUUACUGGACAGUAACUGACGUUGGGGCUCGAAAGCGUGGGGAGCAAACAGG